GAGGUGAAAGGCUGGGGUACAAAGUCAUUCCUUGAUGGUCAUGGAGAAGCAUUUAUGCAGGUUAAUAUUUGGAGAACCACCAGCUCCAGUGGCUGCAUGCUCACCAUUAACAUGAAGCAGUUGCUGCUGUGGAUGAGGAGAAAGAUGUCCUGGAUCCUGCUUUGCUGAGAGCUGCUGCAUUAAGUCUCCAGGAGGCUGUUUCACGGUCUGCAGGUCAAUGGAUGCUGCCCCAGCGAGCUCAGCCUCAUGACUUUAAAAGGAUUUGUGACAAGCCAUGAGCCUUGAGAAAAUAAAGCACGAUGAAUUCCCAUCCAUACAGACAGUUCUGAAGAACAUGGACUCAAUCACUCUUAAAUGAGCUCCGUGGGGAUUCCGCGUCCCCUCGUGUGCCAGCAAGAGGCUUUUUACCACCAACCUAUUGAUACCACAUGGCGGAUGAGAGCACCUCCUACUCUCCCUCCCCUCUUUGCUCCAGACCGAAAAGCACUGGGUUGUCUCAGCUUGGCAGAAGAAGAAAUACAAAAAGGGGGAAGCCAAGUUAUGAGUUCGGCUCCAGAGCCCUCCCUGCUCCUUCUGAAGUGUGGGUCCCUUGUUCCAACAAGGGCAUGUGUGCAAACGUGUUUCCUACGAAGCGUUCCCAUGGCAGAGCUCUCAGCGCUCUAUUUAUUUUGCUGGGUUCUCGCUCAGGUCAACCACGAUGCUCUGAAGCGUGGUGGUUUGGACUUGGAGAUGGCUCAUGUGGUCUCCAUUACUGGAGAUCACCACUUAAAAGCCAGCCUUGCCAAGACAGACCAGAGCCUCUCAUUAUCCGACAGCUUUGCCCAAAUUUGA
RNAcentral lists this long non-coding RNA (831 nucleotides) under Anas platyrhynchos platyrhynchos (common mallard). RNAcentral describes it as "lncRNA (ENSAPLG00000028098.1)". Lineage: Eukaryota; Metazoa; Chordata; Aves; Anseriformes; Anatidae. The record is from RNAcentral.